RNAcentral lists this ribosomal RNA (568 nucleotides) under uncultured bacterium. RNAcentral's name for it is "bacterial SSU rRNA". It matches the Rfam family "Bacterial small subunit ribosomal RNA", at positions 338 to 916 of the family's 1533-position model. The record is from RNAcentral.
CCUACGGGAGGCAGCAGUGGGGAAUAUUGCGCAAUGGGCGAAAGCCUGACGCAGCGACGCAGCGUGAGGGACGAAGGCCUUCGGGUUGUAAACCUCUUUCAGCGGGGACGAAGCGAAAGUGACGGUACCCGCAGAAGAAGCACCGGCUAACUACGUGCCAGCAGCCGCGGUAAUACGUAGGGUGCAAGCAUUGUCCGGAUUUAUUGGGCGUAAAGAGCUCGUAGGCGGCUUGUCACGUCGGAUGUGAAAACUCGGGGCUCAACCCCGAGCCUGCAUUCGAUACGGGCUAGCUAGAGUGUUGCAGGGGAGACUGGAAUUCCUGGUGUAGCGGUGAAAUGCGCAGAUAUCAGGAGGAACACCGGUGGCGAAGGCGGGUCUCUGGGCAACUACUGACGCUGAGGAGCGAAAGCGUGGGGAGCGAACAGGAUUAGAUACCCUGGUAGUCCACGCCGUAAACGGUGGGCGCUAGGUGUGGGGAACCUUCCACGUUCUCUGUGCCGUAGCUAACGCAUUAAGCGCCCCGCCUGGGGAGUACGGCCGCAAGGCUAAAACUCAAAGGAAUUGACGG